AUUGAACGCUGGCGGCAUGCCUUACACAUGCAAGUCGAACGGCAGCACAGGAGAGCUUGCUCUCUGGGUGGCGAGUGGCGGACGGGUGAGGAAUACAUCGGAAUCUACUUUUUCGUGGGGGAUAACGUAGGGAAACUUACUCUAAUACCGCAUACGACCUACGGGUGAAAGCAGGGGAUCUUCGGACCUUGCGCGAUUGAAUGAGCCGAUGUCGGAUUAGUUAGUUGGCGGGGUAAAGGUCCCCCAAGGCGACGAUCCGUAGCUGGUCUGAGAGGAUGAUCAGCCACACUGGAACUGAGACACGGUCCAGACUCCUACGGGAGGCAGCAGUGGGGAAUAUUGGACAAUGGGCGCAAGCCUGAUCCAGCCAUACCGCGUGGGUGAAGAAGGCCUUCGGGUUGUAAAGCCCUUUUGUUGGGAAAGAAAUCCAGCUGGUUAAUACCCGGUUGGGAUGACGGUACCCAAAGAAUAAGCACCGGCUAACUUUGUGCCAGCCGCCGCGGUAA
RNAcentral lists this ribosomal RNA (506 nucleotides) under uncultured bacterium. Its description in RNAcentral is "partial 16S ribosomal RNA". It matches the Rfam family "Bacterial small subunit ribosomal RNA", at positions 30 to 523 of the family's 1533-position model. The record is from RNAcentral.